Mus musculus (house mouse) is the source of this 12296-nucleotide long non-coding RNA. RefSeq annotates it as predicted gene, 38863. NCBI's taxonomy places the organism in Eukaryota, Metazoa, Chordata, Mammalia, Rodentia, Muridae. The transcript has 6 exons. The record is from RefSeq and is a predicted model, not a curated record.
UUUGUUUUCCUUUUGCUUUCUUCUUUCUGACUGGAGCCUAAUCCACAUAAAAGCGCCCCGUGCAGCAUCAGCACUAUGACUCAAUGCCACAGCAGUUUCUUCACCAAACACCCUCCAGCUCAUGGAAUGUAUCAGUCUGGGACACAUUGUGAUCUGAUGAAAUAUCUGUAGAGUAAAAAACAAACAGAACAAAACAAACAAACAAACAAACAAAAACAUCAAAGAGAGAAAUGGGUAGGGGUCACGAUACUGCUCGGUGGAUACAGCACUUGCUAGGCGAACAUAAGGAACUGAAUUCAGGUCCCUAGAAUGCAUGUAAAGCUGGACACAUCCACACAUGACUGCAAUCCCAGAAUACUUAUGAUGAGCUGGGAGGCUAAAACAGGAGAAUCCGCAGAAACCCGUGGACCAGCUAGGCCAGCCUAGACUAUGGCAAUGAUGCUCUAUCUCAAACAAGGUGGGAGGUGAGGACCCACAUCUGAGGUUCUACGAUUUCCCUGAGCCAUGUUUUUGGUACCCCACAGCCAGUCAUUUGUUUAUGGCUACCGCCUUGCAAAAUGCCUUCUCUCUGGGUCAAAAACCAAUGUACAUAAAUGAUUUCCCUGAUAAUUCUAAAGUGUUACCUAAGUCCAGCUCUGAUUCUAAUGUAUAUAGAAAAAUGCCUUAAGCCUUUGAGUCUAAGAAAUGAAACUUGUGUACCUGCUGCUGCUGGUGUGUGUGUGUGCGCGUGUGUGCACAUGCAUGCUCUGAGGCUGUGUGUGGCUGCUCUCUUGUACACAUACACACACUCUGAGCAGUGAGGAGCUUGCCAGGACCGGACGUGGACCACUCCUAAACUUCAUAUUGAGUUCCCUUAAAAGCAGGAAGUACCCCUUCCUUUUUAAAGGGGAGUGUCAACACUGGCAGGACUCUUUUCUUGAGUUUGAUUCAUAGUCUUUUAAGUCAAUUCCUGGUAGGACGUGAGUCCUACGUACACACAUGGUUUUCUUUUCCAGAACCAGGGAAAUGAGUAACUCCUAAGUAUUGGGCCAGGAAGAACACCUAGAGCUUUAGCAGGUUUUUACCUUUGUGGGUAAUAGUUAAAAAUAUGACGUUAAGUCACCUAGAAUUUUGUUAUGUAGCAAUAACAGUUUUACCACUUUUAUGUAAAAAAAAAAAAAACCCUACCUAUUAAAAAAAUAAAAUCAUCAUAAUGAUAAGUAAAAUUCUAUAGAAUGCAUUUUUUACUAAAAAAUAUUGUAACCACUUUUCUUACAUGUGUAAUUCUGGAUAUUUUCAAAAAUCAUUAUAUACAGAGACCACUUAAAAAUUCACUGAAUCCAUAUGAGAGACUAAAGAUCUAAAUAACUUUAAAAGUCCCACAGUCUUUACAUACUCUUAAAAUUUCAAUCUCUUUAAAAUAUCCAUCUCUUUUAAAAUCCAAAGUCUUUUUACAAUUAAAAGUCUCUUAACUGUGGGCUCCACUAAACCAGUGUCUUCCUUCAAGAGGGAAAAUAUCAGGGCACAGUCACAAUCAAAAGCAAAAGUCAAUCUCCAACUGUCCAAUGUCUGGGAUCCAACUCAUGAUCUUCUGGGCUCCUCCAAGGGCUUGGGUCUCUUCUCCAGCCAUGCCCUUUGUAGCACACGCAUCAUCCUCUAGGCUCCAGAUGCCUGUACUCCACUGCUGCUGCUCUUGGUAAGGUCAACCUGGAUCAUACAUCAGCACUGUUAAUAACAAAGGACCCACCAGAAAGACCCAACUUGGUUUUCCCCUGAAUAAAGUGAACUGGCUCCUGAGCAAAAUUGAAGUGCCAACAUUUACCAAGAACCUGCUUCAUAUCAAGAUAUUUGUGAAGUACUUUACAGAUGCUAAUUUUGAGUAUUACCAAGAACCUGCUUCAUAUCAAGAUAUUUGUGAAGUACUUUACAGAUGCUAAUUUUGAGUAAUCUUUACGAACACCAUGCAGCUGCUCCUACUCCUUCCCCUUUUAUAGACCAGGAUCAAUCUGGGAGCUGAGUCCACAAAGAAAGUAUAUGACCUUGAUGUGGUGGCUCAAACCCAUCCUCACCACUGCAUGCUUCCUUUCUCCAGACAUUUAAAACUGGUCCCCCAAAGUCUUGUUUCUUCCUACACUCAGGCUUGGGGCUUCCUACAGACAGUCACCCCUCCUCACCUUCCACAUCUCCAUGAAACAGCCCUGCUUCAUGGCUAGUGCCCCUGAUGCGCAUUCUCUUGACAAAGUACACUUUUGUUUCUUGCUUCUCAGAGUGGAGAUUGAUGACUUUUGCAGUUCACUUCUACAUUUACCUCUCUGUCUUUGGCUAAGACUCCAUGAGUCCCUGCAUCUAUCCAUCUCACAAUCCAUAGUGUAAAGGGUUGGCUGGCGAGUGCCACACCAUUCUCAGUGUUUUAAACAGCCAUAUGCCAGCUGCUAUCAGCUCAUUUCUAAUCCUGUGGUGUUAAGUUCUGCAAAGAUAAAGAACAAAGGUUGAGAACAGCCGUUCAACAGACUUGUUUAGAAAAGAGGUGGACUCUGGAAGAUUCUUCCAUCUUAAGUUACUUCUGGACCAAAAGCUUUAGCCUACCCAAGUUCACUUUUGCCAAGAGAAUAUGCAGACUGCUUCUGCAUUCCAAUUGCAACACCAUGAAUCUUCAAGCUCAGAGGGCUGACACCAAAUAAAGGAGGUAGGAAUGGGAUAAGAGGUUGGUUUUAUUAUUAUUUUUAUUGUUGUUAUCAUUAUUUUAUUAUAAUGCUAUCUCAUUAUUAGUUCAAGCUGGCCUUGAGUUCAAGGCAACAGCCUCCUAAGUUCUAAGAUUCCAGCUAUGUAAUUCUGAAUUUCCUUGGCUAGGAUUAGUAAUUGCUAAAUGUCUUGUUCUAAGGUACACCAAUUACACAUACUUCCUUUAGAAAGCGUAAUAUCCCUUCAGAUUCCACAGUUAAAGGAAAUGCUUCCCCAAGCCCUGCCUUGGAAUUUCACAAUGCAUAUUAGCCCAUCUGAGAAGCUGAAGGUUGGAGAAGGGAGGGUCUGAGGGGAUGGGCUCAGCACAUCUAUCUAAGUUUAUUUUGCAUGUUUAGCUGUAGAGUGCUGUCUUAGAGUAGAUUUCACCAAAAGCAGAUCUGGAGAUAGGAUUCAAUGCAAAUACUUUUAUUUAGAAGGUGAAUGUAUAAGAAGUAUUAGCAGGGGAGACGGGGAAACUAGGCUGGAAAUAGAAACCAACUCAACUUGCAUUAAGGAACUAAUUUAAAUUUUUUGGACGACCAGUCCUCUGGACAGCUUUGAAGAAUGUGCUUCACAGAUGUCUUAAGGAUCGAGGAGUUGCUUACUUAAAAUGUUCAACAGCCAUAGUAAAUGGAAUUCCUUUUUCUGGGGAAAGGAACACACUCUAUAUACAGUAUUUCCAACUUACCUAGCACAGCACAGAGAGAGAACAUGACCUUAGUGAUGAUGGUGACAGCAGGUGCUUGCCAUGGUGCCCUUGAGUCAUUGUGUAGUACAGGCAAUGUUGAUUGACAGGCCUGUGAUAUAACGAUGUGGGAAGCAUGCUCUCCCUUCUGUCUUUUUCUAUUUCAAGCAGGAAUCACAGGAAGGCCUAAUAGCAGUAGUAUUUGAGAAACAGAAAUAGGAAAACAGAAUGCUCAAUGCAGUCGAGCAGUCCAGUGAAUUCUAAAAAGCUCUGAUUUAGCUUGACACACAGAGACAGCAUUAUUCUAUAGCUGGUAAAACUCCAAAAGGAAUUCCCAAAAAUGCCACCAAAUACCAAGUACAUAAAUUUCAGGCUCAGCAGAAAUAGCCUUGGAAAAUCAUAAUGGGUAGGGUGCUGCCACACACAAGAGCUUCAAAAUUCCAAACAUCAUCAGGUUCUAACUUUAUCUGUCUAUAAAACAGCAAAGUUAUCUUUCCUCAGCAAUGGGCAGAGGAUGGCAUCCUACCUGGAUGCUGGAGAUGAUGAUCACAGGCUGUUACUUAGAAAGGAAGAUAGAUGUAGGCAUAAAGGCUAUGAGGGCCCUUUCUUAAUGAGACUACAUCUGCUAAAGUCAGAUCAUAUCAUCCUGGUAAAGAAAAACAACUGAACAUCGUGGUAAAUAUCACAAAGACAAUAGAAAGGAUAAUGAGGAGAGAGAAACUGGGGGAGAACAAAAUGAGGCUGAGUGAUCCAGAAUGACAUCUCGGAGGAAGGAAAAUAUUAGCCGACUCGGCUGUGAUAGGAUGGAACACAAGAAAUGGCAUGUUGGGAGCAGGAGACUGAGUGUGCAAAUACCCCAUGAUGAGAACACAACUGGAGUAGUUCAGGAACACAAGAGAGGUAGCAAAUAUCAUAAAAGGCAGGCUGUGAUUAGAAAAGCUAGGCAAGAAAGGCUGCCAUCGGAAUUCUCUGUGUGUGUGUGUGUUGCAUGUACACAUAUAUGUAGAUGCAUGUGCAUAUGUAUGUGCAUGUGCACAUGUGUGCAGGUGCAUGUACGUGUAGAAGCCAAAGUCAGAUGUCAUUCCUCAGGUACCAUUCACGGUCUAUUUCAGGCAGAGUCUCUUUAGGGAUCCCUAGGGGGUGGAUGAUGGGGCUCCAUCACCAUGAUCUGCUUCUUUAAUAGAAGUGUAAAUUUAACAUAACCUUUUCACUUCUCUUUUGUUCUAAGGAAGCAGCUUCCCAAACCAGCAAAUCACACAUGCUGAGAAACUUAUGCUGUUCCAUGCACUGUCGAGCAACCUCCAGAAGGAAAUUCCCUCAAGUGUUUCUGGGAGACCAGGCCAGGAAGGCUUAUCCUGUUCUUUGACUUUUCUUCCCAAGAUCUAGAGCCAUCUCACAAAUUGAAAUCAGUUCUUAAAAACCACAUGUCAACCUUCUCUUCAAAGACUCUCUAGUCCUAGGUUCAGAAGGCAAUAGCUUCAGGAAACAGAACACAUCCUUAAUAUGACCUUUUUCAGUUGAAAGGAGCUGGGCUCAGAGUCUCUACAGAGACACUUACUGAUGUACAGUCUCAAUCCUGGCAAGGCAAACACUCCAUGUACUGUCAGUGCCUGGAGCCAGGAUUCCCAUGAUACAGCUACAAAAUUUCACUUUGUGCCAUAAGAAGGGCUAUGGUGGAUCAACUUUAAGGAUGCAUUAUCCGUGAGUGUCAAAAAGUGUUGAUUAUAUAGUGUCUAGCAAGGUCAGGUUCAGGAGCAGAAAAGGAAGAGCCCCACACUUGGGCUGAAAUCAUGGCAGAGGUAUCUAUUCUCCAUGGAAGCGUUACUCAGGGGCAGGAAUCAAUCUCAAUUCUCUGUCGAUGGCUAUUGCACACCUGAUCUAUGCUCCUUAGGAAGGAAUAAUUCACAGACCCCAGGUGCCAGUUAUACUGACUUCUUAAAGGGGAAAGACAUAUUUGACCACAUAAUAAUUCCAGGCACAAUGAAAUCAGUGUCAGAAGAUACAUUCAUGUCGAGAACUUCAGGAGCAUGGAAAGAGAGGAAGUAUGUGAGGGACUUGGAGCAUAGCAUGGCAAAGUUGGCAAAGGACCGUCUGUUUCCUCAUCUGCACAAGAUUUGUAGACUAUUUGUUUUAAUUAUCUUAUAGAUAAAUAUGGAUGAAAAAAUUCAACAUAGAUGGGAUUUUCUAUAACAAAGAACACCCCAGUUGUCUUUGGAUGUGAAUGCUGAUCUUAAUUUAAUAAAAGCUAAAUCAGGCCAUGCUGGAAGUUCUAAUGCAAGGAUAUAUUUACAAGGAAGGAAGUGCCACGGGUCAGAAGAUAAACAUGGGCUUUAACCAUGGAACCAAGCUUGUGGGUCAUACCCACUCCUCUUUGUUGUGCAAGGUGACUUGGACUAAGUGGCCUCAUCUUCCUGGAUCCUAAAUUCCUCCCUCUGCCAAGGAUACAAAGAUGCCAGCCCUGCCCCCUCAGAAGCUGAGGAGAAGAAUGAAGGAGAUCAUAUGUUUGGAAAUAUUUGGGUGUUCUUAUCAAUAUAAUGAACUUCAGUCUUCAUUUAAACUGGCUCACCCAGAGGUGGGACAGAGUCAAUAACACACCAGGAACCUGUUUGGAAGUACUAAGUGGUGGUUGCAUGAAAAGGGAAGGAGGAUCAACCACUAACACCUACAUGGACAGAGCCCCACCAACUUUAAGAAUCAGGAAGAAACUGGGUGUGGUGGCACACGCCUUUAAUCCCAGCACUCAGGAGGCAGAGGCAGAGGCAGGCGGAUUUCUGAGUUCGAGGCCAGCCUGUUCUACAAAGGACGAGAAACUACAGCAUUACUUCUGCAGAUUCACAAAGGAGUCCACGUUCCAAGAUGAGAGAAAUACCAGAAGCCGAUGGCUAUUCUACUUGACUGAAUGAAAAGAAAAGGAAGGCACUUCCUGUCAAUCCUGCUUUGGAUUCCUAGACAGUUUAAGAAGCACCAUUGAUCUGAUCAUUGGCACUGAGGAGGAAAUGCCCAUCCGCAGAAGACAUGCAGGGCUCAACCCAGCUUGACAUGGGCAGUGAGUGGUUUCUGAUGUAACCCUUUCUGUAAACUACCCCCUCACACACAUGUAAACCCCUGCUUCCUCCUUUAAGUAGCCACAUUGGUGGUGCCUCUGUUGUAAGGUUACAGGGGAGAAUGACUAGACAGUAGUGAGGAAAGCAUUUGGGAAGGUGAUUCGUUUCUGUUUUUCUGGUACUCUCCCAAAACAGGAGAUACUCUUGUUGCAUAGAUGCAGUCAGUGGUUUCUUGCAGUCAGUGGUUUCUUGGAUUUGGGGAGUUAAAAGUCAUGUGACACAGGCCUAUUGACACAUCGAUGUGAGGAGUUUAAGGUAAUGCUGCUGUGAUUGAGAAGAAUCGCCCCAGUAAAGCUUUAGCAUGAAGCCAAGCAGCUUAUAAUGACACAGGAUUCUCAAUGAAUGAAGUUUUAAGGGAUAAAAUCUUUACAAUGAAAUAAAAACAAUCUUAAGAAAACGAUUAGGCUCUAGUAAAAAUAAGCUGUGUUUUAAGAGUGGUUUCUAUAUUCAGCGUUAUUAUCCUUCACUUAUACUCAGAUAAAUAUGUUAUGCUCAAGCUGGCUCAUAGUCUUCAGAAAUAAGAAUGGACAUUAUACUUUGAUGUAAUAUCAACAUGUUGCAUAUACAAAGUAAACACUUUUGGUGAUAAAAAAUAUUGACUAUAAAUGUCAACAAACUUAUUUUGUCUUUCAGUUUAAAAAAAAUUAAUUGUAUUUUGUGUACAUGGGUAUUUGCCUCAAUGUGUGUGUGUGUGAGAGGGUGUCAGAAGACCUGGCGUUAUAGACAGUUGUGAGUUGCCAUUGGGGACUGUGAGUUGAAACCAGGUCUUCUGGAAGAGCAACCAAGUGUCCUUAGCCACUGAGCCAUCUAUCGAGCUCAAAUUUUCUCUUUCUUAAUAGCACCAUCUAUGUUUAAUUAAAAAACUAAAGAUGUUUUUGAACUAUGUAAAGAUAUGAUGAAUUAUAACAGUGAGAGUUUAGAGUUUCCCCUUCCCUCUAGUCUCCCUCCACCUUUAUAAUUGCUUCUGAGAAGUCAUAAUGCUCCUUGCUUUCCAUAUCAUAAACACCAAACUCAUAGAGGAUAACAGGGAUGGGGAAUGCUUAGUUGGCAAAGUAUUUGUAGCAUAAGCAUGAGGCCCUGAGUUCGAUUCCCAGAACCUACCUAAAAAAUGUCAAGAAUGGUGGUGGCAUGUAUUUGUAAUCCCAGUGUUGAAUUGGGACAGACAGCUGGCUCUUAGGGCUUUGCUGGCCAUCCAGUCUCAUUUAUUAGGUGCAUCAAUGGUCCAAGAGUCAUGUCUCAAAUCAAGGUGGUUGGGUUCUGAAGAGUUAUACCUGUGGAUGAUCUCUGGCUUCCACACAUGUACAGGUAGCUAUACAUUCAUGUGCACCCACAUAAACAUACAUGUGUGGGAGCAUAGACUCACUCAGUGUGCUUUAAUAGUCUAAUUUAGUUCAUUUAACGUCCUACAAAGAGCAUUGUUGAUAGUGACUCAGUCCUUUUCAUGAGCACCAAACUAUAUGAACGCUCUCUAUAUCAAAUCAGCAGAAUAGCAGGGCAUAUCAUCUAUAAUCUUUCUUCUAUUGACAGUUAAAAAAAAGAAUAGCCAACAAUCCUCAGGGUUACCUUCAGCUGAACAUCAGAAUUCUUACUGUGCCCUAAUACUAAGAACUGAAAAUGAAAAUGAGACAUGUGACAUGAAACUCGAGGUCAGUUCAACAGCAUAACAUGUUGGAGUUUACAUAUAACAAAAUGUGUAGCUCACCCUCCCAUACUUGCAUGACUGUGCAUAAAUCUCCUUACACUGUCCCAUGUUCCAUUCACUCUUCAUUUGCAAAUUGCAUGAGACACUCUACGCUAACCCAUGGCAGGCUUUCCAAGCUGUCUAAUCUUUUUUCUUAUCAUUGCUUAUGUUCCAAGAAGAUCUGGCUCUGGUUGUAUUUACUGAGAUAAUGAUUUACUAUUCUAAACAAUUACUUUUUACCAUUACUAGAGACAAUUCUGUAUAUAAGAGCCUUUUUAUUCCCUCCUCCUCCUCUUCCUCCUCCUUAAAUAAAGGAAUUUGCCUCUACUGUGGUAGACUAGCACUGGGGUCAGAUUCUUACUGCAGAUAAUGCCCGUGAGGAAGCACGGAAACCAUUAUGAAGGAUAUAAACCAUAAACUCAGCUUAUCUCUAUUGAAUUCUCAUGGACCUCUGAGAAUGAAAGGAUCUGUUUGUUAAUGGCUUUUCCAAAUAAAAGCCACCCAAGGGCACUGAUGUCAUGCAUCAACAGCAGCACUUGGAAUGUCCAGGCAGUCAGGAAUCAUUGGCAUUUCCAUAGCAAGAGAGUGCCUGUGCAUUUGCUUUCCCACAAACAUUAGUGGGGCCUAACAUCUGAAGUUACUAUUAGGUUUAGAGUGGGUCUUCUUUAGCAUCUAACACACAAUGUACUAGAGGCUUUGUACUCUCCCUAAUUGCUUCUCUCUACCUAUGGAGCAAGUUCUUACUGAAGGGGCAUUACUUUUAAAAAGUCUUUAGGAUCUCCUUGGGGCUUUAAGUCCCUGAUAGACUGGAUGUGGUCUUCAAUACAAUGUAUAAACUCCUGAAAGUAGGGUGCUUUUCUCAUUCAUUCCUUAGAAGUUACAUCUCCCCUAAGAGUGUGACUUCUCUUUGAAAGAUAAGGAAAUUAAAAUCCAGGAAAGCUAGCCAGUCAUCCACAAAGGAAUAGAUAAAUGAAGAACAUCUGGAAUUCUUCCACUGAUUCAGAAUCUUAAUGUUCCACCAGGGUCUCAGGCAGCUUGUGCCUCUACAGUCUCAAGGUCUCGAAAAUAGUGGUAUGUACUGUGAUAGCUAUUCUUGUUUGUCAACUUGACUACAACUGGAAUUAACUCAGACUUCCAAGUGGGGAACACCUGUUUUUGAAGUGGGAAGAUCCACUUCUAAUCUUGAUCUUUGAGGUGGGAAGAAUUACCUUUAAUCCAGAUCUUUCGAGGUGGGAAGAUCCACCUCUAACCACAUGGAAGAAAGAAGCUUUUGCGCUUUGCCUGCUUGCUCUUGCCUCAGUAGCAAGUUCAUUCCUUCAUAGGCAUUAGAGUCUGCUUCUUCAGGAUUCCAGCAUACACGGAAGAGCAGCUGAAGCAUUCAGCCUCGUGCACUGAGAGCAACUCCUGGAUUCUUAGACCAUUCCUUCAAGGCAGCCCUUGUUGGACUCGCUGGAGCACAGCCUGGAAGCUGGUCUAAGAAAUCCCAUUUCUAUACAUAGUGAGAUUCAUUCAGUAAGUUGUUAUUCUUAGAGAACCUUGAUCAAUACAAAGACCUAUAAGCAUGAUGGGAAAUAGGAGGAGAGGUAGGAACAGGGGACAGAGGGGAGUGGAGAGUUGGUGGGGGGGAGGUGGAGGGGAAGACUAGACAGAAAGAGGCAGAGAAAGAAAGAAGAAGGGUUUAGAUUCACCUCUGCUCUAUUAUUCCUCUGGCUUGGGAAGUCACUGUUACUGUCUAUCAUUUCGUCAUUUGUCCAACACAGCACGGUCAGUAAGGAGCAGAUGGUUCACUGCCUGCACUCUUGUGUCUUGGUCUAAAGGGUUCUAAUGUGUGCAUUUUCUACCAUGGCCUCGAAAAAUGCUCUAGUAUGGUUUGGUUUUGCUUUUUUUUUUUUUUUUUUUCUUCCAAAAACCUUUCUUUCCUCUCUGUCCUACGUAACAUGAGAAUUUCCAGAGUCUCACCCCACACUUUCUGCUCCUUGAUACCCCAGUCUUCUUCCUGGGUGGUCUUCCCCUUCUCCUGCUCCUAUUUCAAAGUCCCUUUUGUCUGAUAUUAAUGCAGCCUCUUAGGGUUGCUGUUUGCGUGGCUCCUCUUUUCCCUUCUUCCUGCUUUCAGCCUACAAGAAUCUUUGUCUCUAAAGUGUGUUUUCUUUAUGCAGCAUAUAGUUGGGUCUUGUUUCAUGUUUUAAUACAGUCUGAUAAUUCCUGCCAUUUGACUAGAUCAGGUAAUUAUUCAUAAUUAAGGUUCAAUUUACUUCUGCCUCUUUGCUUUUGACUUUCCAUGCCUCAAAUGUUGUUCAUGGAUUUUUAUCCUUCUUUUGCUGCCUCCCUUUAUAAGAACUAGAUAUUUUAUAGUAUAGCAUUUUCAUUUCUUUGAUUUUAAAAGUAUAUUUUUAUGACUUCUUUGAGUAUGUUAUACAUAAAUACAAUAUUUUUAAAAUCAUAUUUACUCCUACUUCUUCCUCUAACUCUUCCUGAAUCUAUUCUCACUCUCCAUCCCCUCACAACUUUAAGUCUUUCUUUUUUAAAAUACCAGAGAGUCCAGUUUAUACUGUGUAGAGUCCUGCAUUAAUGCAUGGUUGAUAUAGUUGGGGCCACACCCUUAUAGAAUAUGGACUCCUCCUUCCCCAGAAGCCACCAACUGUCAAUAGCUGCUCAUGGAGGGGUGGGAACUUAUGACACCCUUCCUCUCAUGCUGGAAUGUUGACUGGCUUGAUCUUGUGCUGGUCUUGUGCAGACAACCACAGCUUCUGAGAGAUUGUGAGUGCACUGGUCUUGUCAUAUCCAGAAGACAUUGCUUCCCUCCAGUCCUCCCCAACCUCUUGCCCUUACAAUCCAUCUGCUCCCUCUUUCAAAAUGCUCCCGAGCUUUGGAGGAAUGGGUGUGAUACGGUGUCCCACGUAAUGACUGAACAUGCCACGGAUUCUUGUUCUCUGCACUUUUACUGAUUGUGAGUUUCUGUAUUAAUUGAUAUUUAGUGCAUAAAGAAACUCCUCCUAUGGAAUGUAGUAGCUGCACUAAUCUAGGGGUAUAGAAAUAUCAGUUCACUACAGAGUCCAUCUAGAAAAAUAUUAAGUUCACCCAUGGAGCUUGUGAGAUCCUCAAACAUAGGUUCUGGUCAGAUGUGUAAUAUCAGACAUGAAUUUCCUCUUUUAAGGAAGUCCUUAAAUCCAAUCAGAAAGCAGCUGGUUGAUGCCAUGAUAUUUGUGUCACUAUUGUACCCAUCAACAUAGCUUGUCACACUGCUGUUACUAUAGUAGUUUACAGUUGAGUAAGACUAUUGUCCCAGCAGCCUGCAGUGCAUAGCUCCUUCCAGGAGAGAUCUCCACAGCAGAGAGAAAGCUUCCUGGUUAAUACCAACUUCAUUUCUUCAUGUCCUGUGACCAAAUAACAUUGUUUCUUCAGCAAUAGGGUCUUAAUAUCAAGUUCCAGUAGGCAACAAAGAGGAAUGCCAAUGACCUAUUAUGUUUGGGGAUUUCCCCCAAGACACCCCUGACAUCACCUGGCACUCUCUCCAUAUUUUGUAAUCUUAAACCUUUAUAUAUUGCCAUUUAUAUGUUACAAACCUCAUAUGAAUUCUAGUUAUUACUUUACAUAUUGUACAUAUUAUAUAGGAUCUAGACUCACAUAAGUUCAUGUUUACAAGGUAUUAGAUUGACCUUCCCAUUCACCGAGUGUGAUUUGCUCCAGUCUCUCCUGAAGAUUUCACUUGCUGUCUGGUAUCUUUACUUAACCUGAGAGUUGCGCCAUUUUUAUUCGUGUUCUUUAUGCUCCUCUUUUCAAAUGUAUGACAUUUAAGCAUCCUGUAAACCCAAUAGCGUGUGUACAUAUGCAUUGUUUUAUUAUGCUGUUCUUAUCAGGAGUACAUACCCAAUACUGUUGUCUUUAUCAUGUUUUAACUGAGGUGAAAUGCGUAUAAUGCUAGACUUAUUAAAGUGGAGAAUUCCAUGGCUUUUAUUGUACUCAUCAUGUUGUACAACCCUCACAUUCUUUAGUUUCUUUGGUUUGAAUUUCUUAUGGCCUCAGGGAUAUUCCACACACCCUCUUCCUCUUCCCUUUGCAAACACAGUCUUUCAGCCUCAAUGAUGUAUCUAUUCUAGAUGAGUUAAAUAAAAAGUCAUGCAUUAUG